UACGUAGGGUGCGAGCGUUAAUCGGAAUUACUGGGCGUAAAGCGUGCGCAGGCGGUGAGCUGUGUCCGAUGUGAAAGCCCCGGGCUUAACCUGGGAAUGGCAUUGGAAACUGGCUCGCUGGAGUGUGGCAGAGGGGGGUGGAAUUCCGCGUGUAGCAGUGAAAUGCGUAGAUAUCGGAAGGAACACCAGUGGCGAAAGCGGCUUCCUGGUCCAGCACCGACGUUCAGGCACGAAAGCGUGGGGAGCAAACAGG
This 253-nucleotide ribosomal RNA is filed under the name uncultured bacterium. Its description in RNAcentral is "partial 16S ribosomal RNA". It matches the Rfam family "Bacterial small subunit ribosomal RNA", at positions 524 to 776 of the family's 1533-position model. The record is from RNAcentral.